AUUGAACGCUGGCGGAAUGCUUUACACAUGCAAGUCGAACGGCAGCACGGGGGCAACCCUGGUGUCGAGUGGCGAACGGGUGAGUAAUACAUCGGAACGUGCCCGGUCGUGGGGGAUAACGUAGCGAAAGUUACGCUAAUACCGCAUCCGAUCUGAUGAUGAAAGCGGGGGACCUUCGGGCCUCGCGCGAUCGGCGCGGCCGAUGUCAGAUUAGGUAGUUGGUGGGGUAAAGGCCUACCAAGCCGACGAUCUGUAGCUGGUCUGAGAGGACGACCUGCCACACUGGGACUGAGACACGGCCCAGACUCCUACGGGAGGCAGCAGUGGGGAAUUUUGGACAAUGGGCGCAAGCCUGAUCCAGCCAUUCCGCGUGCAGGACGAAGGCCUUCGGGUUGUAAACUGCUUUUGUAUGGAACGAAAAGGCUCUGGCUAAUACCUGGGGCUCAUGACGGUACCGUAAGAAUAAGCACCGGCUAACUACGUG
This 484-nucleotide ribosomal RNA is filed under the name uncultured bacterium. Its description in RNAcentral is "partial 16S ribosomal RNA". It matches the Rfam family "Bacterial small subunit ribosomal RNA", at positions 30 to 507 of the family's 1533-position model. The record is from RNAcentral.